Grammomys surdaster is the source of this 107-nucleotide small nuclear RNA. Lineage: Eukaryota; Metazoa; Chordata; Mammalia; Rodentia; Muridae. The record is from RefSeq and is a predicted model, not a curated record.
GUGCUUGCUUCAGCAGCACAUAUACUAAAAUUGGAAUGAUACAGAGAAGAUUAGCAUGGCCCCCAUGCAAGGAUAGCAUGCAGAUUUGUGAAGCAUUCCAUAUUUUU